CUCCGACAAUCCAAGGUUUCCGCACCCACGUUCGUCGUGUGCGGGUUAGGCGAUCCUAAGGUCAGUCCCGUUUAAGCGAGAGUAGCCGAUGGAUUACUGGUUAAUAUUCCAGUCCUUGGUUAGGAUCAUUUGACUUGGGGAGGAACGACGAUGGAUAAGACUAGCGGGGACAUGAUUUCCCGUUUAAGCAGUAAAGCAGGUUUCUAUAGGCAAAUCCGAGAGACCGUUUAUCUGAGCUGUGAUGAGUCAACAAAGCUUCGGCGGCGUUGAUUAGUCCCAUUUCAUUGUCCUGGAAAAGCUUCGCAAGAAGAUCUUAAUCAAAUCGUACCGAUAACCGACACAGGUGGAUGGCUCGAGUAGAGUAAGGAGAGCGAGAGAAUGUAGCUUAAGGAAUUCGGCAAAACAGCUGGGCGUAAUUUCGAAAGAUGCCCCGCCGCUUGGUUUCGACUGAGCGGCCGCAGUGAAUGUCAUGAGAUCGACUGUUUACCAAAAACACAGGUCUGUGCCAACUCGUAAGAGGAAGUAUACAGGCUGAAGCCUGCCCAGUGCUGGAAGGUUAAGUGCGUGGGUCUAUUCGGUUUACCGAGUAGGCUUGCAAUCGAAGCCCCAGUGAACGGCAGCAGUAACUAUAACUGUUCUAAGGUAGCGAAGUACCUUGUCGCUUAAUUGGCGACGUGCACGAAAGGUGUAACGAGUCUCAUACUGUCUUGAGCUGCAACUCGGUGAAAUUGAAAUGGCUGUGAACAUGCGGCCUACUGGCGGCAGGACAAAAAGACCCCAUGAAGCUUUACUACAACUUGACACUGUUUUUGUAUGGAAGGUUGUUUAGGAUAGGCGGGAGAGGCUAUUUAGUUAGUCUCAUCGGUGAAAUACCGCUCGCUUUCUAUACGAAAACUCACUGAAGUUCACUGCAAACGUGAACCAGGACCCUGUUUGGUGGGUAGUUUAACUGGGGAGGUUGCUUGCUAAAGAGUAACGCAAGCGCGCAAUGGUACUCUUAGUCCGGAUGGAAAUCGGACUGGACGUGCAAAAGCAUAAGAGUGCUUAACUGUGAGACAUACAAGUCGAUCAGAUGCGAAAGCAGGUUUUAGUGAUCCUCGUGUGUUUUGUGGAAGACACCGGGCUUAUCGGAUAAAAGCUACUCUGGGGAUAACAGAGUCAUAGUGCCUAAGCGUUCCUAGCGUCGGCACUGUUUGCUACCUCGAUGUCGGCUCACCGCAUCCUGGGGCUGUAGCAGGUCCCAAGGGUUAGUCUGUUCGCCUAUUAAAGCGGUACGCGAGCUGGGUUCAGACCGUCGUGAGACAGGUCGGCUUCUAUCCUCCAUCAGCGUUAGAAAUUUGAGGAGUUUUGUCCCUAGUACGAGAGGACCGGGAUGAGGAAACCCCUAGUGUUCCUGUUGUUUCUGUCAAGAGCAUUGCAGGGUAGCUACGUUUCUUGUGGAUAACCGCUGAAAGCAUCUAAGCGGGAAGCCCUUUCCAAGAUUAAAUUUCUCCAUUAGACCCCUGGGAGACUACCAGGUUAUAGGUGAGAGGUGUAAGUCUGGUGACAGAUUUAGCUUACUCAUACUAAGUUGUCGAUUGAACAUUUUAA
RNAcentral lists this ribosomal RNA (1590 nucleotides) under termite gut metagenome. RNAcentral describes it as "bacterial LSU rRNA". It matches the Rfam family "Bacterial large subunit ribosomal RNA", at positions 1335 to 2925 of the family's 2925-position model. The record is from RNAcentral.